RNAcentral lists this transfer RNA (70 nucleotides) under Cavia porcellus (domestic guinea pig). It matches the Rfam family "tRNA". From Rfam's summary of the family: Transfer RNA (tRNA) molecules are approximately 80 nucleotides in length. Their secondary structure includes four short double-helical elements and three loops (D, anti-codon, and T loops). Lineage: Eukaryota; Metazoa; Chordata; Mammalia; Rodentia; Caviidae. The record is from Rfam by way of RNAcentral.
GGGGAUUUAGCUUAGCAACAUAAGCGCCUGCCUUGUAAGCAGGCAAUCGCCAGUUCGAUCCCUGGUACCA